UCUACGGGUGGCAGCAGUGAGGAAUAUUGGUCAAUGGCCGAGAGGCUGAACCAGCCAAGUCGCGUGAGGGAAGACGGCCCUACGGGUUGUAAACCUCUUUUGUCGGGGAGCAAAGCGAGUCACGUGUGACUCAUUGAGAGUACCCGAAGAAAAAGCAUCGGCUAACUCCGUGCCAGCAGCCGCGGUAAUACGGAGGAUGCGAGCGUUAUCCGGAUUUAGUGGGGUUAAAGGGUGCGCAGGCGGAGGUGCAAGUCAGCGGUCAAAUUGCGGGGCGCAACCCCGUACUGCCGUUGAAACUGCAUCCCUUGAGUGCAGUAGAGGUGGGCGGAAUUCGUGGUGUAGCGGUGAAAUGCUUAGAUAUCACGAAGAACUCCGAUUGCGAAGGCAGCUCACUGGACUGCAACUGACACUGAGGCUCGAAAGUGUGGGUAUCAAACAGGAUUAGAUACCCUUGUAGUC
Molecule: ribosomal RNA, 459 nt
Filed under: uncultured bacterium
Lineage: Bacteria
Description: partial 16S ribosomal RNA
Rfam family: Bacterial small subunit ribosomal RNA
Source: RNAcentral